This 1039-nucleotide ribosomal RNA is filed under the name Phyllosticta citricarpa. Its description in RNAcentral is "partial 18S ribosomal RNA". It matches the Rfam family "Eukaryotic small subunit ribosomal RNA", at positions 76 to 1124 of the family's 1831-position model. Lineage: Eukaryota; Fungi; Ascomycota; Dothideomycetes; Botryosphaeriales; Phyllostictaceae. The record is from RNAcentral.
AUACUGUGAAACUGCGAAUGGCUCAUUAAAUCAGUUAUCGUUUAUUUGAUAGUACCUUACUACUUGGAUAACCGUGGUAAUUCUAGAGCUAAUACAUGCUAAAAACCUCGACUUCGGAAGGGGUGUAUUUAUUAGAUAAAAAACCAAUGCCCUUCGGGGCUCCUUGGUGAUUCAUGAUAACUUAACGAAUCGCAUGGCCUUGCGCCGGCGAUGGUUCAUUCAAAUUUCUGCCCUAUCAACUUUCGAUGGUAGGAUAGUGGCCUACCAUGGUAGCAACGGGUAACGGGGAAUUAGGGUUCUAUUCCGGAGAGGGAGCCUGAGAAACGGCUACCACAUCCAAGGAAGGCAGCAGGCGCGCAAAUUACCCAAUCCCGACACGGGGAGGUAGUGACAAUAAAUACUGAUACAGGGCUCUUUCGAGUCUUGUAAUUGGAAUGAGUACAAUUUAAAUACCUUAACGAGGAACAAUUGGANNNNNNNNNNNNNNNNNNNNNNNGCGGUAAUUCCAGCUCCAAUAGCGUAUAUUAAAGUUGUUGCAGUUAAAAAGCUCGUAGUUGAACCUUGGGCCUGGCUGGCCGGUCCGCCUCACCGCGUGUACUGGUCCGGCCGGGCCUUUCCUUCUGGGGAUCCGCAUGCCCUUCACUGGGUGUGUCGGGGAACCAGGACUUUUACUUUGAAAAAAUUAGAGUGUUCAAAGCAGGCCUUUGCUCGAAUACAUUAGCAUGGAAUAAUAGAAUAGGACGUGCGGUCCUAUUUUGUUGGUUUCUAGGACCGCCGUAAUGAUUAAUAGGGAUAGUCGGGGGCAUCAGUAUUCAAUUGUCAGAGGUGAAAUUCUUGGAUUUAUUGAAGACUAACUACUGCGAAAGCAUUUGCCAAGGAUGUUUUCAUUAAUCAGUGAACGAAAGUUAGGGGAUCGAAGACGAUCAGAUACCGUCGUAGUCUUAACCGUAAACUAUGCCGACUAGGGAUCGGGCGAUGUUAUUAUUUUGACUCGCUCGGCACCUUACGAGAAAUCAAAGUCUUUGGGUUCUGGGGGAGU